AUCAAGCUACUUUGUAAAUUGUUUUAAGCGUGCAUUUCUGUUUUUGUUUUGCUAACAGAAACUGAAGUGAAAGACAAAUCGUCGUCAAUCCAGCGAUUUGCACGAAUUUUCACAAUCUGGGAUUGAUUGCAAUCCAUUGCAGUCAUUUUCUUAGACGAAGCGCCGGAAUGGAAGUUCCUACAAGUUCUCGGGCAGCUGAAGACGAACAUUUAUGAUCCAAUGUUUGCACGGCUCAGACCCAAACCAGAACCUGGGAAAGGAGCUGAAUCAGAUGAAUCCGAUGUUUUCAUCGGUGUUUUCGAAUGCCCACAUUCAUGAGGAUGGUGAUUCAGUAGUAUGUUAGCGGUUAUAAGUAUUUAUAAUAGUGACAAUUAGUGGAAAAGAUUUUAGAGGUAGCGCAUAAAAAUCUAGUAAGGGUUCAUUCACAAAUUUCAUAACGUCGAAAAUGGCAAUUUUCGACAUCUACCCACCCCCUCGUAACGCUUUUUGUAUGACUAUUCUACGAAUUUUGUAUGGCCUGUAACAUUUUGAGGAUACCCACCCACCUCCUUCCCCAUUAUGAAAUUUGCGAACUGGCCUCAAAAUCAAAUUAUGUAACUUCCUCAGUUAUUCAAGUCAUGGACGAAUAAAAUGUAUAUGCCAAAGGAAAAUAAUAAAAAAUAAAACGAAAUUUGCAGUACUAUUUUUUCC
Molecule: long non-coding RNA, 690 nt
Organism: Aedes aegypti (yellow fever mosquito)
Lineage: Eukaryota; Metazoa; Arthropoda; Insecta; Diptera; Culicidae
Exons: 2
Source: RefSeq, a predicted model, not a curated record